Mauremys mutica (yellowpond turtle) is the source of this 365-nucleotide long non-coding RNA. RefSeq lists it as uncharacterized. The transcript is spliced from 4 exons. The record is from RefSeq and is a predicted model, not a curated record. Lineage: Eukaryota; Metazoa; Chordata; Testudines; Geoemydidae.
GGGAGCUGUGGCAGUCAACUCGCCGCAGUGAGGAUGGCCAGAUCAGCUGUAUUGGGCAUGAAUUUCAGCUUUUCUGAUUUUCACCCAAAUCCAUAGGGCUGCCAAUCCUCAGGCCUAGCCUCCAGCAGUAUGCAGCCUCCUUGGGCUUGUCCCCUGAGGGAGGAGCGAGUCUCAGCUGUGAAGAAGAAACAUCAAUGAUGCCUCUACCCCAGCCAAGCUGGCUUGUCCCUUGCCCAAGAUCUCGCUCACAAAGGGCUCUUUCUCUUGUUGUUGUUUUUCUUUGAAACGCCUUCAUGUUAAGCUGGCUAAUUAUGAGACUCUCCUGACGUCUCACGUUGACCCUGGGCCAUGCUCCAAGAGUAACU